CACACACACGCAGCCGCUCGCCGUGCCCGCAGUCCCGCGGCACGCCCCGGGCGCGGUCCCGACCGCUUCCGCUGCUCUUGAGGAGAAGCCUGAGGAGGGGUAACGGGGGGGCUCUGCCGCCUCCCUCCCGCCCGCCCGCUGCCCCCAGCCGCGGUAGCGCCGGCACAGGCUUGGAUUUGGGGAGCUGUUGCUGCCGCUGUAUUCAGAUCUGUCACAUUGAUGUCAUAUACAUAACAGCUUGGCAGCAGUUCUGCAUCCUGCGGUGGGUGUACAUGGCACUGGAACUACAUCUGGCGGGAGCAGUGGAAGCUGCUUUUAGAGCAGAACCUUUUUUAGAGGUUCACAACCUUGUGGUUGUCUGUAAUUAUAAGGUGUUGUGCUAAUACAAAUAUUUCAGUGAAGUCCGUAUUUCUGGUUCAGCUGUAUGCACUAAGCAAAUUUUAUAGUAGUUAUUUUCAGUAUUAGGUACCACAGCAGAGAAUGACCAGGUUUUCUACGCGUUUAACUUGUCUGUGGUGAAUCGUCUUUCUCUGGAAUGACCUGAUCUUGUUCCUUGAUUGUGCCAGCUUCUAACUUUUCUGAGUUACACCUGAUUAGCUGCUUAAUAAAGUGUACAGAAAUGCUGUAUAAAAUGAAUGU
This 639-nucleotide long non-coding RNA is filed under the name Anser brachyrhynchus (Pink-footed goose). Its description in RNAcentral is "lncRNA (ENSABRG00000011100.1)". The record is from RNAcentral. Lineage: Eukaryota; Metazoa; Chordata; Aves; Anseriformes; Anatidae.